CAGCAGCCGCGGUAAUACGAAGGGGGCUAGCGUUGUUCGGAAUUACUGGGCGUAAAGCGCACGUAGGCGGAUAUUUAAGUCAGGGGUGAAAUCCCGCAGCUCAACUGCGGAACUGCCUUUGAUACUGGGUAUCUUGAGUAUGGAAGAGGUAAGUGGAAUUCCGAGUGUAGAGGUGAAAUUCGUAGAUAUUCGGAGGAACACCAGUGGCGAAGGCGGCUUACUGGUCCAUUACUGACGCUGAGGUGCGAAAGCGUGGGGAGCAAACAGGAUUAGAUACCCCCGUAGUCCCUGUCUCUUAUAC
RNAcentral lists this ribosomal RNA (301 nucleotides) under uncultured bacterium. RNAcentral describes it as "partial 16S ribosomal RNA". It matches the Rfam family "Bacterial small subunit ribosomal RNA", at positions 509 to 807 of the family's 1533-position model. The record is from RNAcentral.